Molecule: non-coding RNA, 1761 nt
Organism: Epinephelus lanceolatus (giant grouper)
Lineage: Eukaryota; Metazoa; Chordata; Actinopteri; Perciformes; Serranidae
Source: RefSeq, a predicted model, not a curated record
AGCACAAACACGAACCAUUGUUUUCAAUCGAUGUAGUAAAACUCUCAACUGUACUCCGGGACAACCGGCACCACUCGGAGCGGCGCUCUGCAUGGCUCCUGUUUUCUUCCGGCAACAAGCAAAGCUCUCUCGAGAUGACGCAAGUGAAGGAUCCCGGUUUGUGUGUCCGGUGAAGGAGGAGAAAUAAACGGAUGGAGCUGCAGAUGGAGGCGGAGUGGGACUCACCUUCAGUCCGGAGGGGGGCUCACCGAUGACGGAAGGAGGAGGAUGCUUUUGGAGGUGACCUGUGUGAACUCGCGGUACACAAGUAUCCCAGCAUGCAUUUCACUUCAACCAGCAGCAGUGAUGGAGGACAUGAACCAAACUCACAUUUUGACCCAAUCGUGUUAACAGCUCUGGACGUUCAAGGUUCUUCUGCUUCAGCUCACAGGCUUAACUCAGAGUGAACAUUCUCAGCGUUGAUUGAACUGACUCUGGUCAGCUGAUCUGGAACCAAAACUCAGACAGGCAAAUUGUGAUUUGUGAUAUUGGGCUUUAUAAAUAAAAUUGAAUUGAAUUGAAUUGCUUUUGCUCAGAUUGUUUGCUUUCACUCAGAUAUUGCUGCUUUCAUGGAAUUCCUGCUCUCUAACUUGAGUCUUCCCCUCGCUCUCAAGCUCCCUUUGUGCACUUAUGAAUUGUCUGCUCUCAGAUCUGCACUCGGCUCCUGGAUUUUUUUGUGCAACGAUCCUGUGUAGUGUUAAGCAAUGAAGUGAUCCCUGCCUCAUUGUGGGCGUGUUCGCUCUACUUCUCAGAGCAGCCCGUACAGAUGGUUAAUCUUUGACCAGGUUCAUGCACUCCUGCACUCCAGGGCUUUAUUAAAUGCCCUUCAUUUGCUGUCUUUACAGCUUCUGGCAUAAAAUCAGUGUACUGGAGUAUAAAACAUCUCACUUAAUGCUACAGCGUGAUUACUCUUAAUUCAGAUACAUAUUUAGCUGCUCAUAAUUUCUCUGGGUUUGACUGCCCUGUUAGGACAUACACUGAUCAGCUACAACAUCAAAACCGCUGACAGAUGAAGUUAGUAACACUGAUCAUCUCAUUACAACGUAAUGUUCUGCUGGGAAACCUUUGGUCCUGGGGUUGGUUGUCCAAAACACCUUCAGGUAAGAUUUUCUUUAAAGUUCUAGUUAAGGAUUCCCUUAAAAUAAAGUCAGUUGCACAAAAACCCCUUAUGUCUUCUCCUUAAGGUUUCCUUAAAAUGCUCACUUAAGUAUUUUUUUGUUUUAACUUUGACUUGGCCUUAUACCUAAAGCAGGAUUUAUGCUAAAUGAGUUUUUCCUUAACAAAGGCAACCUUUUAAGGGAUUAUGUUCAACUGUAAAGUCUCUCAGCUAAGGAGAAAUGAAACCUUAAGUGUUAUACUUAAGGCGAAAACUUAAGGCAUUUUGUGUCUGACAUGCCCCACCCACCCAAACACUGUUGCAGACCUUGGUACCAAACACUGCAGGAUGAUGAUGCACAUAGGCUUCAUCUCUCCCGUUUGUCCUGAUUCACAUUUACAAAAAGCUUCAGACAUUUACACUGGAAACUGUGCAGUACAAAUACUUUAUUUUACUGGUAACAGUAGCAGGAGUAGAAGGUUCAGUGCCUUGCUCAAAGGCACAUGGACAGCACAGAUGAAAGGCACAUUCAACUUCUUACUAACAUGUUAACAUUUUGCAAAAAACUGUUGGAAAAAAGGGUGUACUUCUGAUCUGUAACAUUGACAGGAAGUGACCGCCAUGAG